This 13300-nucleotide long non-coding RNA is filed under the name Mytilus galloprovincialis (Mediterranean mussel). The record is from RNAcentral. Lineage: Eukaryota; Metazoa; Mollusca; Bivalvia; Mytilida; Mytilidae.
AUACAUGUAUAAGUUGAUAUAUUUUGCCUGUAUUUUAUCAGAUUAUUUUAUUAGAUGUAUUUUGCCUGUUAUAUGUUUGAUUUUCCUUAUAGAUGGACAUCAACAGUAAUUGUAUUGUCUGUGAUACUUUUUGUAUUAGUUGUAUCAUUGUGUGGCUGUUGUAAAAGAUCAAGGUGUCUCCUGGCAACGUAAGUAUAAGGUGUAUAUGAUACUAAAGUAAAAAAGUUUAAUUUGCAUAAAAUAUCUUAUAUCCUGAUUCUACAAAAUUCUACAUCUAUCUAUGCAGAUUGAUUUCUUGGUGUUAAUGCAAAUAUCAGCACUAUUGGCUAGUUCAUGGCGGUCAGUUUUUUUGGUCGGAAAAAGCCAGAGUGUCAAGAGAGAACCACAACCUAGAGUAGGAAAACUGACAAUCCUAGUUAAUUAAGAUUGGAGUUGAAUGUACCUGCCACAUGCUGGUUUCAAUUUAAAGCACCAGAGUUGACUGGCUAGUACAAGGAUCUGGAUUUUUUUUCACACAAUUUGGUCAUUUUGAAUUUGAGAUAACCUAAAAGUUGCCUGUUGGCAGGUUGGUGCCUUUUUUCCCCAAUAUUUUUUUGAAAUCACACUAGAAAAAAAAAGAAAAGAAAAAAAAAAUUAUGAAAGCUUAUUUUGAUAUAUCCAAAAAGAUUUAAAAUAUUUAAACUUGAAAUUAGGCCAUUAAGAUUUAUUUAUUUAUUUUUUCUAUGUGUAUAUUUUCAGCUCUAUUUCCUUUGGUUUCCUUAUCCUGUUCCUCUCCUGGAUAAUGAAUGGAGUAUACCUAGGAGGGAGUGUGGUAAGUGAUGGUACCAGUCUUGCUUUGAAAUAUGACAACCAAAAACCAGAAAAAUUUUGAAGAAUAUUGCUUUUGUCUUGGCAAAAGAAUCCAGUUUCUGUAGAAUUUGAUUCAGGCCUAUUCCUGGAAAAAGUUCAAUGACGGCAGGAGGUUGGACCGUGCGUUAUAGCAUAAUUAACCAGAAUGUGUCCAUAGUACACACAUGCCCCACUCACACUACCAUUUUCUAUGUUCAGUGGACCAUCAAAUUUGGGUAAAAACUGUAAUUUGGCAUUAAAAUUAGAAAGAUCAUAUCAUAGGGAACAUGUGUACCAAGUUUCAAGUUUAUUAGGCUUAAACUUCAUCAAAAACUACCUUGACCAAAAACUUUAACCAGAAGCAGUACCCCGGUACUAUAUUCAUGUAUAAAGAAAAUUGGGAUUUUUGACACUGUCCUCUCUAUAUUCUAGAUCAUUAAUAAACUAUUUGAUUUAUUUACAGACAAAUGCAGAUUUAUGUGUGGAUCCAGAAAGUUUUAUAGAGAAUGUUGUCAAUGAGAGAAUAGAGAAAGGUAAUUACUGAGAUUAUACAAUGUAGUACAGUUGUGUGAUGGAUUGAACACCAUUUUCUACACAUUUGUAUAAACUCUUAUGUUAAAAAAAAUAAGAUGAUGUCAGAUGUUUGCCAAUUAGACAACUAUCCACCAAAGUUCAAAAUAGACAAAUGUAUUAAUUAAAACUAACAGAAGACAGCUCUCUCUAAAGGAAAAAAUCUAUAACUGUAAAAUAUAAGGGCAUACACUACAAACAAGCACAGGACAAUUUAUACAGCCUCCACUCAACAAGAAAACAAACCCUGCAACCAAUAUAAAAAUAAUGAGAUUUUGUAAUUAACUCAAUAAGACAAGUGAAUAGAAAUAAGUUUGUUCUUUUUUCAAUCCUCAAAUAUUACUUUCUUGACCAUGAUCUUCAAAUAUAUCUAUGGUCUAUUGCAUGUUUAUAAAAUAUUCAUUUGAACUUUAUCAUAAAAUUGUUUUAUGAAAGAGGACAAUAACCAACUUCCCUUACUAUUGUUUUUGUAGACAUAAUCAAAACCUACAUUAAAUGUAAGGAUGACGGAGCAGCAGGUCAAUACUCUCAGGUAAGCUGGAAAAAUUCUCUUUGAUAAUUAUUACUGUAAAUUCAGAAGUUAUUGCAAUGUUUUAUUAUUGCGAAAAAUGCGACAGGUUUUAAUCACAAUAGUUUAAACUUGCAUUUUGAAAUUUUUUAUAUGAAUUAAACAGGAUUUUUCUCAAAAUUGUAAAAAAUAAGAUUACAAAAUAGCAACAAUAAACACAUGCUAUAAUUUUUGAAUUUAAAGUUUCUUACUGCCUUACCUUUCUUCCAAAAUAUAUAGAAAUGAUAAGUAGCACUUAGUCUGAAAUGUUAUGAGGCUUUUUUGAUUUUUUGCUUUCUUUUUCUUACAAUGUCUUUUUUUUGCGAGAAUAUCUUCCUCUAAAUUUUGAGAUCUAAUUUUGCCAUGAUAUCUUCACUGACAGAUGAUGAAUUAUUUUUUGUUGCACAAAAUGAAGUUAAGGAAAUGUUAGCAUAAAAAAAUAAGUAAAAUUUUAUUUGUUGUACCAUGCAGUCAUUAUAUUGUAGUGUAAUUUUAAGUAUAUAAACUUUCACAUUUCAGGACAUUUCAGAAGCUUUAAGUGCUGUAACUUUAGCGAAUGACACAUUAUCAAAGAUUUAUAAUGUCAGCAUUAGUUUAAGUAUAAUAAAUAAAGUAAGUUGAAGUUCUGUAUGUUAACUAUGUUAUAUCGUAAUGUAUACUAAUGCACUACAUUGAAGCUAUAUAUUACACAUAUGCACUACAUUGAAGCUAUAUAUUACACAUAUGCACAGCAUAAAUGCCUUGGCGGUAUGAAUGUUGGCAUUUAACAGUCACAAUUCAUAAAAAAUAAGUUUGCUUGUAAUGGUUAAUGUUGAUUGAUUAUAUUUUGCUGUCAAGUUUUUGUUUAGGAUGUUGUGAAGGAUAGCAGGUUUUCAAAUUUUUUUAUGCAACUGCUUCAAAAUCAAAAGUGUUUUUAUUUCUAAUGAAAUAAUUCAUUCAAAACAAUGUUAACAAAUACAGUGUGAAGAGAAUAACUAUACAGUAUCUUUAAACAUCAGUUUUAUUUGGUUUUUGCUCAGAAAAAAAUUAAAAUCUAAGCAUUCUACAUGCUUCUAAUAAUAAUCACCACACAACAAUCCAAUUCAAAAUUAUUUACAAAGCAAAUCCCAUUCUUCUGAAGUUGUUUCAUAACUUGCUUAGGUCUUUUAAUUUUACACACUUAUAACUGCAAUUUUAGAGGACCCUUCAUUUCUUUUAAAAACUCUACUAAUUUACGUAGAUCACAUUAGUAUGCAAUUUUAAAGAAAUAACCCAUUAUUAACUGAUAAUCUAUGAAAAAAUUUAGUACAUGUUUUAAUAGGUAAUUUGAGUUAUUAAAGGGGUUUCUUUGCUGUGGCAUCUAACAUGUCUAGGUCGUUUAUCCACUGUGUUACUUGUCGGUCAGAACUGAGGUUGAGUUGGCUAGAAUUGUCAGUUCCUUGCUGAAGGUUGUGGUUAUUUCCAGGCACUCAAGCUUCCUCCAACAAUUAAAACUGCCAUCACAAUAUAGCCAAUAGUCGCUGGGAAAAAAAAUGCUUUACAAAUUGUUAUACGAAUUUAACUCAAAAUGAUGAAAAUAUUACUAAAGGUAUGUUUCACAAGUGAUUGAAAGGGAAAUUCUUGUCCUUUGGUCUUUUAUCUGCUUCAUGAUCUUUUAUUUCUUUUUAAAGUAAAAUGUAAAUGCAAAAUGUUUUUAUUUUAAAAUGCUUUUAUAUUUGUAGGUAAAAGGGCCUAUAAUAGCUGUCAGAACACAACUGAACUAUGGUUUUGGAAAUCUGACAGCUCUGAGUAAUGUGUUCCAGUGUCAGAGAACACAUGAUAAUUACUUAGCCAUUAAGGAAGCAGUAUGUCAUACAGUUAUGUAAGUAAAAUGAUAUAAUAACUAAUCAAAGAAUUAAAGGAGCUGUGUCAGAAAGAAAUGGACCCUAUGCAUAUCUGUUUACCUAGUUUUAAGUUGAAAAUAUCUCUAUACAAGGUCUUUAACUGUUUGAAGAGUUGAUAUAAGAACACUACAAAACAGACCGAAAUAUGACUUUUAUUUCGUAUUUGAAUGUUCCGUAAUGGGUCUACGUGAACUUGAAUAAGGUCGAUAUUUAUCCAACACAGCUCAAAUGUUGAAAAGUGAUUAAGGAACUCAUUGAUUUGAGCAUUGACAAUGUUAUUUAAUAGUUAGGUCAUGAUUUGAAUUUGUAUUACAAUAACUUUAAACAAAAACAAAAAAGAAAGUGCAAGAAACUAUAUUGAUAAUGAGAUAGCUAUCCAACAGUAAAAAUAAUAGAAAAGAUAUCCAUAGGUCAACUAACCAUCUUCAACAACAAACCAGUUAUACCAUAUGUCAAGCUCUCAUUCAAAGGCUAAAAAAAUAAAACAAAUAAGUUUAUCAGAGACUACAAAAUUUUGAACAGACAAAAACACUAAAAUGAAUUAAAGUAGUAAUUAAACUUAUGCAAACCAAUUAUCACUAUUAUACAAAACAAAAUUUAGUCUCCAAUAUACUUCUCAUUGUAAUAAAAGAAGUAAUGCUGUGGAUUCAUUAUUAUUCGUUGGAUACCAAUUUUCAUGGAUUUCGUGGUAACCUGAAACCACGAAUUUAAAUGUCCAACGAAUUACAAAUUGUGUAUAGGUGUUUAUGCAGACUUUUGAAAAACAACAAAAUCAAAUAUCAACAAAAUGCAAGUUUUCUUCAAACCAAGAAAAUUGGUACCCACGAAAAUAAAUGAAUCCACAGUAAACUGAUAUGGAGAUAUUCAUUUAUCUUUUGCAGAUUCAACAUGUCCCUGAUAUUGGCAGCAUUCCUUUUGUUAUCUUUGUUAUUAUCAUUAACACAGUGUAUUCUUCCUAAAAUGUGGCAUCUCAGUGGCAAAAGGUAAGUUAUAUAAUGUGGCAUCUCAGUGGCAAAAGGUAAGUUAUAUAAUGUGGCAUCUCAGUGCCAACAGUUUAGAUGAAAUUUUCACCUCAAUUAAAAAAAGUCAGAUUCAGAUUCAAAUGUGGCAUCACAGAGGCUAAAGAUCAGGUAAUAAUGUGGCAUCUCAGAGCCUAAAGAUCAGGUAAUAAAAUGGCAUCACAGAGGCUAAAGAUCAGGUAAUAAAAUGGCAUCACAGAGGCUAAAGAUCAAAUAUUAAUGUGAAUCUCAGUGAAAAAGGUUGGGCAGAAUUUUCAUCUCAGUAACAAAAGGUCAGAUUUAGAUGUUGUAUCUCAUUGGGAAUUGUUGCUUCUCAGUGAUAAAAAGUAUGGGAUCUCACUCUCAGUGAUAAAAAGUAUGGGAUCUCACUCUCAGUGAUAAAAAGUAUGGGAUCUCGCUCUCAGUGAUCAAAGGCAAGAUGAAAUUGUGGCAUUUAAUCAUUAAAAUGCCUGUGCUUAAUGAUACAUAGCUUGUGCUGUUUCUCAAUGGUAGAAUGAAUAAGGAAAUUGUAAAUUGAUCAGGUAACAAAAUAUCUACUUUUAACACCAUGCUGUUUUUAUGUGAUUCUGACAAGACAAGAAUUGAAAAGAAAACUUUGUUAUAAACAACUGCACAUUUUUGUAAUUUUUUCUAUAGAAUGAAAGUAAGCUCUGUGAAACAAGUUAUUUUUUAAUUUCCAGUAUUUUGCUAUAAACAGUGUGAUCUGUAGAAAAUUUCACAAAUACAAAGACUAAAACAACUGUUUUUAUGCCCCAUUCAUGGGCAUUAUGUUUUCUGGUCUGUGCAUCCGUUCGUCCAUUCGUUGGUCCAUCUGUCCCGCUUCAAGUUUAAGUUUUUGGUGAAGGUAGUUUUUGAUGAAAUGCGAGUCCAAUUAACUUGAAACUUAGUAAACAUGUCACCUAUGAUAUAAUCUUUCUAAUUUUAAUGCCUGAUUAGAUAUUUAACCCCAUUUUCAUGGUCCAUAGAACAUAGAAAAUGAUAGUGCCAAUGGGGGGGCAUCUUUGUACUAUGGACACAUUAUUGUUUUAAAUUUGUAUGUUUUAAUAGGUUUAGUUUGUGCCUUUUAGAUCUCUUGGUUGACAUGUGAGGUAUUGCCAUCACUUGUAAGGUUUCUAAUUUGUAACUGUCUUCCUUCGAUCUCUUCUUUUCCAACUGAUGAUCAAAGUCGACUUUUAAAACAGAAUAUAAAAAAAAAUUAUACGAAAGUUAAUGAUAUAUUAUGUUUUGUAGAAGAGGAAGUGGCUACAGACCAGUGGAUGAUACAGACCCAUUUGUACCAAGGCCACCUCCAUAUCAGGACUAUGGAGCAGUAUAUGGAAUAGGAUCUCCACUUGGACCUUCAAAGUAAUUUAUUUUUUUCUUUGAAUUAAAAUUAAGAAAAUACAAAAUUUACCUUUUUUAGCAGUAUUCUGUCAAUAUAUUUGACUCAUUGAUUGUACUGGCUAUAAUUUGGCUAUUUGACUGUUCUACCUAUAAUUUGGUUAAUUGACUGUUUUGGUUAUAAUUUGACUAAUUGAGUGUUCUGGCUAUAAUUUGACUAAUUGACUGUUCUGGCUAUAAUUUAACUAAUUGACUGUUUUGGCUAAAUUGACUGUUCUGGCUAUAAUUUAACUAAUUGACUGUUCUGGCUAUAAUUUGACUAAUUGACUGUUCUGGUUUUAAUUUAGCUAAUUGACUGUUUUUGAUAUACUUUGGCUAAAUUGACUGUUAUUUCUUUUGAUAUCUUUUGAUUGGUUAGUGUUUCUUACUUGUUUAAAUUAAAGGAGUUUUUGUUGAUUCACCGAUGUCAAUCAAUUUGAUAGUCUGUCUAUGAAGUUUUGGCCUAUUUUUUACAGAAAAUACAAAAUAUAACUACUAUUCUUCAUAUUUGAUAUCAAGAUUUCUUUUUAAACCAUAGUCAUUGAUUGGUUUCAUCAUACAAUAUUUGUCCCUACACAUUAAGUAAAUGUUAUUAAUCAAUAACUUUGAGUCCACUUCCCAUUAACUUUUUAUAUGCCUACUGUGCAUGAAAUGUGGAUGUGUAUAUACAGUUUUUUUCUGAGCUAAGAAUUGGCAAUUUUAAUGGAAUUAAGUUACUUUAAGAUUCUUAAUAUACAUUUCCUAUUUUCUAUCUCAAUUUGUUUUAGUUCCUCUAGGAUAUAUGUUUUUUUAUUAAUUUUUGUUGGUGUUUAUAAAAUAAAAAUAGAUAAAUACAUGUACUUGUUUGCAUAUCUCAAUGAAGUUUUGUUUGUUUCAGCAGUGAUGCCAUCAAUAUGACAGGAGGACCACCUCUAGACUCACCACCACCUGCUGUAAGUUUAUCUCAAAAUCUAAAUCAGAAAAAUUUGUUAGAAAUUAGUUAAUUUUACCAAUUGUUUUCUACGAUAAAGGUUCAUAGCAUAUUGAGAGACCCUGCCCCCCCUUUUUUUGUGGGAAAAAUUGUGGUUGAUUAGUUGUGGGAUGACUGGAGCAGGACCCUUUUAGGCAGUCAGUGCCCCUUUCCCCUUUUGAAAAAGACCUAGGAAACAAACCCAAUAUCUAUAUAUAAAUGAUGUAUAGAGCUGAAGAUAAUUAUCAGUGUUGUAACUUCUUGAGUUGCAUAUUUGAUCUAUCUAUAUUCUAAUUUGCAAGGAGUUCAUCUCAAUGUAACCAUCAUUCUAAUGAUAUUAAUAAUGAAAUUCAGGAGGAUUCAUAGUAGGACUUAUUUAAUUUAUCUGUGUAACUGGUGUUCUAACUUUAUGUUGGCUAGUGAAUUAUUUAUCACAGAGUGAGAAUUAAUAAGUCCUGUAUUUUCACUCAGUUAAAUACAGAAUUUAUUUCACUAUGAAUAAUAAAGUAUUAUUAAUAUAGCUAUAUUACCUUCAACCGUUCAUUUCACAGAUUAAAUUCGAUUUAAUAAUGAAAUAUCUUUAAUAAUUGAAUUUACGUAUUCAUCAUGUAUUUUUUCAGUACUCUGUACGAGGUUUUGGUGAGAGCAGACAUACCAGAAGUCACAGUACAACUUCAAGUGAAACAUGAUGUACAGAGUUGAUAACUGAGAAACUUGAGAUUAUAAAGACUAAAUAAUUACUGAUCCGCCCACAUAAGUGGUUUUGUAUUAACAUUUAAACUGUGCGUACAGUAAUUAAUGUGUUCUGUAAGAAAGAGGUUUUUAAUGAUCUCAAUAUCACAAAAUGAGAGAUAUAUGAAGGGCUUUCAUAAUGACUUGAUAUGCAUUUGUAUAUACAAUUGUUUGCACUUUUUACAUCUUGUAUCAUAUAAUAAAUUUUUGUUUUUUUUUAACAUUUAUAAAUAUUCAUUAAACAUUUUUUUUAAAAGUAUUUGUUCACUUAUCUCCCUUAUAAGAUUUUUUUGUGUAUAAUUAAUUUCUUACCAUUUCAUAUUUUCCGUAAUAUAUUUAUACAGGGUAUUAAACACACUGAACAAAAUAUAUUAUUUGAAACUUUAUUUAAUGAUUUUGAGUGGCAGUUGAUAUGAAAAUGACAAUAACUGGCUUGAAACAUCAAUAAAAAUUGAUCAAUAAAGAUUCACCAGUUAACAAUAAUUAUCAAACUGAAAUUAGAAAUUUUAUAUGUAAUACUCAAGUUAUUUAUAGAUUCACCAAUAAAUUACAUGUGCCAUCAUACUUUGGUUUGAAAGUAAUUGGUUUUUAUUAAUUUGAUACUUAAUUUUGUUUAUUGUAUACAUAUUUGUUUUUCUUUAUAUGUAAUAUGAGUUAUUUCCAUUUUUGCAAGUUUUUUCCUAGCUUUUACAUCAUUUUUAUACAUUUUCUAAAACAGAUAAUGAAAACAUUUUUGAUUUACUAAAAAGAUAUAAGGUUGUAUAUUUGUAUAUAUAUAUAUAUAUCUGUGAUUGACUUGUGCAUGUUUUGUUUUUCAUUAUUCACUGUUCUUGUUAUGAUAUUUUUGGUUUCCCAUGGUGAAACUUUUGUUGCCUCUGUUGAUCUCAAAUAUAACUAAAAUAGUUAUCACUGUGCUUCAAGUAGUAAAAUGAAAGUAGAAAAUAAAAAAUGUCUGUGAUAAAAAGUCAUACUGUAUACUACAGAAAAUGGUAGAUGCCCCAUAGGUUUAUAAGAAUUUACAUCCCCAUAGGUUUAUAAGAAUUUACAUCCAAUACUAGCAUAUUGAAAAGGAAUCAAUUUAAAGAAAAAUUAGGAAAUAACUGAUUUAUAUUUUAGCUUGGUCUUCUUAAAACGUAUAAUACUGUAGCAUAUUGAGUUAACCUUGUGAUGCACCCUUAUGAAGGCUAAGCUUAAAAUACAAUACAGUUAUCUCUAUUUUAAUGCCCCAUAUUAAAAUAAAUUCCAUUUAAUAGAUAUUUUGGCUUAAGAAUUACAUAAAUGAAAAAGUCCACAAAACCUUUGCAUCAUCUUUAGCAUCUCAACAAUGUGACAUCAUAUUUAUACUCUGGAUGUCAAUUAUAUUUAAUUGUUGAUGUAUAAACUAUUCAAUGCUAUAACCGUGUACUUAGUAUGACUCUUAUGCUAUGACCGUGUACUUAGUAUGACUCUUAUGCUAUAACCGAUUACUAAGUAUGACUCUUAUGACUUCACAGUUGAAUUUGUUUUUAUAUUCAAUUGAUAAUCAACCUGUUCAAGUUGCUUGCAAAAUCUUGCUUAAAUCUGUGGUAUCAUAUUCCACUUUUAUAUUGUAUGGUCUUACAAAUGUUUGCCUUGCUUGAAAAGUUCUGUAAGGCAACUUUUCAUCUUUUUGAAUUAUGUUGAAUACAUGUGCAUGAGAUUUAUUUUUGCUCAUAUUUAAAGACUUGACAUCUUUUCAUAUAUUUGUCUAUAAUAUAAUAUUUAUCUUCUAUCUGCUUUUAUUUAAAAAGCAAAGAAAAACAAUGUGUUUUUUUUUUGUGAAACUUCAUCUUUUCUAUUCUGUAAUUUAUUCUCUCACUUUAAGUCUGUUACUAUACUUCAGAUGUAUUAGCCCCCUAGCAGCAAAGCUGAAGGAGAUUUUAGAUUUGCACCCUGUCUGUUUGUCAGUCCCGCAAAUCAGUUUUCCGUACUUUUUUAUACAUGUUUGAAGAUAUUGAAUUGAUAUUUGUAAUACAUGUAUAGUUUUACCAUGACAAGUAAGAGAUCAAGUUUGGUUCAGAUGAUUAUGUUGCAGAGUUAUGGUCCUUGGAUUUAAAAAUUGCAUGCAAGAAAUCAGUUUUCUCCACUUUUUAGCUCACCUGGCCUGAAGGGCCAAGUGAGCCUUUCCCAUCACUUGGCAUCCGGCGUCGUUAACUUUUACAAAAACCUUCUCCUCUUAACCAAACUUGGCCACAAUCAUCAUUGGGGUAUCUAGUUAAAAAAAUGUGUGUGGUUACCCGGCCAACCAACCAAGAUGGCCGCCAUGGCUAAAAAUAGAACAUAGGGGUAAAAUGUAGAUUUUGGCUUAUAACUCUGAAACCAAAGCAUUUAGAGCAAAUCUGACAUGGGAUAAAAUUGUAAUCAAGUCAAGAUAUUACAAAACAUUUUCCUCUAUAACUAAUGGGCCAAGUUCAUUAUAGAUAGAGAUAAUUGUAAGUAGCAAGAAUGUUCAGUAAAGUAAGAUCUACAAACACAACACCAUCACCAAAAAACAAUUUUGUCAUGAAUCCAUCUGUGUCCAUUGUUUAAUAUGCACAUAGACCAAGGUGAGCGACACAGGCUCUUAAUAGCCUCUAGUUUCGUAAAGCUUCAAGAUUCUGUUUUUAUUUAAGUUAGCAUUUUGUUCCAGUACAAUGAAUUUUAACGGGUAGUGGACUAUGUAUUGCCUUGCAAUACUUUCAGAAUUCUUGUUUAAAAUAAAAUUUAUGUCUUGCUUAUAUUUUGUAGUUGAUAUAUUUGUUUAUGUAUUAAAACAAACUUUUAUUUACAGCACGUUUUACAAAUCCUACUUCAAUAGAAGUUUGCCAGAUGCUUAGUUUAAUAGAUUUAAAAUAUUGUACUUUAGAUUAACAUUGCAAUAAUGUUUGUUUUAUAUGUUAGCUUUAUGGAUUUGUACUGGAUUGUACUUUUAUUUGAAGUUGAUUACAUCCAUGAACAUUUUGUAAAGAUUUGUGCAUGUUUUGUUUCACUGAUAUAUAUAUAUAGUUUAUUUUUAAGAAGUAGGAAACUUAUAUUAAGGGCUGUAUCAGUUGAACAUGCAUUGUAACCAAUGAAUGCACUUUCAACAAGGGUACCACAUAUCAAGUAAGUUUUAAAUUUGACUUUAUUCACUAUACAAACCAGUUUUUGCCAACAAUCCAUAGUGGAGAUUUCAAAGAGUUUUCCUUUGUCCAAUGUAUGUUUUUACGAUACAGCCCUAAGAGAAUAUAGCAGGAAAACAAAAUAUUUUUUCUUCUUCAUAUUUAUAAAUCUUUAAAGAUAAAGUGUAAAGAUGCUGGAUUUCUUUUACUUUACUUUUGAUCGAUGUCCAACUGAUAGCUUUUAAAACAGCUCUUUAAAAUGACCAAUUUCAAGAAAAAUGGUGUGAAUUUUAUUAAUAUGUCUCAUUUCAUAACUUUUAUAUUUAGAAUUCCAGCCUUAUUAGAAUGUCUCAAAAUCCAUGAAUAUUUACCAAUAUUGUUUAAAAGCAAUGCCAAUUUACACAUAACUCACUGAAGAAGGUGUAUAUCAAAUAAACUUUAUACAUGUAUAAGAAUUUACAGUGCUUAUCCAGUGACCUUUGGGGUAUCACAAUAGCAAUGGCCAAAACAGUUUACCAAAUUGCAGUUAGAUUUCUUCUCCAACUAACUGAUCAACUGGUAAAAUGUUUUAGCAGAUUGCUCAAGUGAAAUGUUGUUAGUAUGAAGUGAGUGCUGUGAAAUCAAAAGUAUUACUUGCCAUCCAGAUCCAGUUAGUUGAUAUCUUUGUCAUUUGUUUGAAACACAAAAAUGACUUACUAUAGUAUGAGUCACUGAAUAAGAAGGUCUAAUUUUGACAUGGAAACUUCUAUCAUAAAUAGAUUUUAUAAAUAAAUAGUUCAAACCAUUGUUUUGUAGAUGUAUAUUGUAUAGCUUUGUCUUCUAAGACAAAGUUAUUGUGUAAUUAUGAUUCGUAUAAUAUUUUCUAUACAAAUUACUGAUCUGCUGGCAUUAAAGGGAAAUAAUUUUUAUUGAGUUAUUGUACACUAAAAAAUUAAUCAAUGAUACCUGGCUUCUGAUUUUGCCUACAAUUUUUUUCAAAAUUUAAUCAUCUUAAAAUAAAAAUUCAUUGUUUCUUUUCAAACAGAGAUAAAAGUUUAAUAAUCAUAAAGUAAUGUUACAAACAAAUUAAAUGAGGAAAGUUGAUAUUUGUCAGACAAAAAUUGUGACAACAUUUUGCUGAUUUUCAGUAAUGUAAAUUAUUUCCCUUUAAUGGUAGCAGAUAAAUAAUUGCUUAGAAAAAAAUCCAAAUUAACAAUUUGCACUAACUUGUUGUUGAAAACGAGCUAUAAUUUAGACUUACAAAACAAUGUUUUCAACAUUUAUUUAUAAAUCUAUUUAUGAUAGAAGUUUCCAUGUUAAAAUUAGACCUUCUUAUUCAGUGACUCAUACUAUAGUAAGUCAUUUUUGUGUUUGAAACAAAUGACAAAGAUAUCAACUAACUGGAUCUGGAUGGUAAGUAUUACUUUUGAUUUUACAGCACUCACUUCAUACUAACAACAUUCACUUGAGCAAUCUGCUAAAAUAUUUACCAGUUUGAUCAGUUAGUUGGAGAAGAAAUCUAACUGCAAUUUGUUAAACUGUUUUGGCCAUUGCUAUUGUGAUACCCCAAAGGUCACUGGAUAAGCACAGUAAAACCUAUUUUAUUUGUCCUUUAUUAUACCCUUUUGUAUACUGCUUUAUGGCUAAUGAUGUUUCUGUCAGUCAACUCAGUUCCCGAAAAUUAUUUCAUAUUUUUCUCAGAAACUACAAAUUCUAAAAUUUAGUCCAGCUUCUGUGAGCAAUGCUUUUCAGUUUGAUGCAUUAUAAGAUUCAUUGCUCAUUAACUUCCUGUUCACCAAAUACUUAUAUAUUAUUUUAGAUAUUGGCCUUGUAUGAAAUUUUCAUCACGUUUUUCUCAGGAAUUACAAAUCAGGGCUUUUUGAAAUUUGGAACCAUACUUGUGAGCAUGCCUAACAGUAACUUAGUGAUGCUUUUUAAAACCCAUCUUACAUCAAAUUUAUGUUUACUUUUAAAAUACUAAUAGCUGGGUUAUCAUUAGCUCACAUUUCAACUUGUUAAUUUUAAAAAUAAUUGUACCAUCAGAUGUCUUGUGAUCAGAUUUUAUUAACAAAAGAAAAUUUAUCUUGUAAAUAUACCAAAAUAUAUGUAUGUAUUUAAAUUACAGAAAAAUAAAUGGUGAAUCAGAUUGUAUGGAGGAGAGAAAGAAAUACACACUAAAAAUUACUGUAUAGUAUAUACUUACAAUUACUUUCAAAGAAGUGCUGUGUUUUACUAAAUAAUAUUACUAUCAUGCUUUUAAUUUUAUUAUUUUUAUCAUAUUUAAAAUACGAAGAAAAAAAAAUGCUUUAUUUCAUUUUGUAUGAAAACGUUCAUUUCUAAUAAAACUAUUAAUGAUG